GAUGAACGCUGGCGGCGUGCCUAAUACAUGCAAGUCGAACGAUGAACCGGGUGCUUGCACUCGGGGAUUAGUGGCGAACGGGUGAGUAACACGUGAGCAACCUGCCCCUGACUCUGGGAUAAGCGCUGGAAACGGCGUCUAAUACUGGAUAUGUCCCGUCACCGCAUGGUGUGCGGGUGGAAAGAUUUUUCGGUUGGGGAUGGGCUCGCGGCCUAUCAGCUUGUUGGUGAGGUAAUGGCUCACCAAGGCGUCGACGGGUAGCCGGCCUGAGAGGGUGACCGGCCACACUGAGACUGAGACACGGCCCAGACUCCUACGGGAGGCAGCAGUGGGGAAUAGUGCACAAUGGGCGGAAGCCUGAUUCAGCAACGCCGCGUGAGGGAUGACGGCCUUCGUGUUGUAAACCUCUUUUAGCAGGGAAGAAGCGAGAGUGACGGUACCUGCAGAAAAAGCACCGGCUAACUACGUGCCAGCCGCCGCCGUAA
RNAcentral lists this ribosomal RNA (485 nucleotides) under uncultured bacterium. RNAcentral's name for it is "partial 16S ribosomal RNA". It matches the Rfam family "Bacterial small subunit ribosomal RNA", at positions 28 to 523 of the family's 1533-position model. The record is from RNAcentral.